This 465-nucleotide ribosomal RNA is filed under the name uncultured bacterium. RNAcentral describes it as "partial 16S ribosomal RNA". It matches the Rfam family "Bacterial small subunit ribosomal RNA", at positions 338 to 795 of the family's 1533-position model. The record is from RNAcentral.
CCUACGGGUGGCAGCAGUGGGGAAUAUUGCGCAAUGGGCGAAAGCCUGACGCAGCGACGCCGCGUGAGGGAUGAAGGUCUUCGGAUCGUAAACCUCUGUCAGCAGGGAAGAACGGUCACUGUGCUAAUCAGCAGUCAAUUGACGGUACCUGCAAAGGAAGCACCGGCUAACUCCGUGCCAGCAGCCGCGGUAAUACGGAGGGUGCGAGCGUUAAUCGGAAUUACUGGGCGUAAAGCGGUCGUAGGCGGUAGUUCAAGGCAAGGGUGAAAUCCCCGCGCUCAAAGGGGGAACUGCCCUGGAAACUGGCAAACUGGAGAGUGUGAGAGGAUAGUGGAAUUCCAGGUGUAGGAGUGAAAUCCGUAGAUAUCUGGAGGAACAGCAGUGGCGAAGGCGACUAUCUGGCACAUAACUGACGCUGAGGAGCGAAAGCGUGGGUAGCAAACAGGAUUAGAUACCCGUGUAGUC